GCUGGGUGCAGUGGCACACACCUGUAAUCCCAGCAGCUCAGGAGGCUGAGGCAGGAGGAUUAUGAGUUCAAUGCCAGACUCAGCAAGGACCUAAGCAACUUGGCAAGACUCUGUCUCUA
RNAcentral lists this small RNA (119 nucleotides) under Marmota monax (woodchuck). The record is from RNAcentral. Lineage: Eukaryota; Metazoa; Chordata; Mammalia; Rodentia; Sciuridae.